Diceros bicornis minor is the source of this 4626-nucleotide long non-coding RNA. RefSeq lists it as uncharacterized. Lineage: Eukaryota; Metazoa; Chordata; Mammalia; Perissodactyla; Rhinocerotidae. The record is from RefSeq and is a predicted model, not a curated record. The transcript is spliced from 4 exons.
CCAGUGGACGGGGCACCUCCGCCGGCCUGUAGUGCAGCAAGCCCAGCAGCAACCCGAGAGCAACUGAAGUUUGAUUUUUUUCGCCAGAUAAACCAAAACCAUACACAGAAGGAUCAUGGGCAGUGUGUCUGGAGGCCCAAGAGAGCUCCCAACCAAGCAGUUCUUUCCAGGUGCAAAGGGCGGAGGCCUCUUUGAGCUGCUGAGAAAAGGGCUUAGUGAAUUGUAAAGCAGAAUGCAAAUGGUGAUUAACUAAGACACGGCAAGCGAGGGUCCAUCCUAGUCAGCACAACCUUAGCCACUGCAGUGUGUCUCUGAAGAGCCAAUCUAGCUGUUUUAAACUGUACAUUGGUGCUUUGUGGGGCCAAGGCAGAUGGGACCACGUGAAGGUGAUGGGCCUGGGUAAUGAUCCCUGUCACUGUAUGUCUGUGAGGUUUCCAUGUUGAUAUUCUUUACUUGCCUCUGCUGAGCUGGAGCAAUCAAAGUCUCAAGUCUGUUCACACCCUGGGAUUAUGACUCGAUCACCAGACAUUAUUAUUGCUCAGGGAGAGGCAAAGUUUAAAAAUGACCAAGUUCAAAGGAGAGCCCUGCAACCUGUGAUCUCUGUUUGUCUAGCAGAAUUCCGCCAGCCUCCACUCCACACACCCAAAAUGCUCACACACACAGUCCUUCCCUGCCCUAGGCUGGAGGCUCUGAGUUAAUACAUCUGCCUAAAACUGGGCUUUUUGGAUUGGAGGCUUUCACAUUGCUUCUCAAGGAUCUACUAAUGGCAAAUGACAAAACUGACCAGCUGGUGCAGGAGAGAUUCAUAUUCAACUCAUUCCAUGAGAAACAAGAAAUUUAUAAAGCAGGGCUUUUCUGGAGUUUGGGUGAAAAUGUUUUAAUCUGGGAAAUAUACAGCAUAACACACAGAGCUGUGUUAGUUCAAACAUAAUGGAUGUGGUGUAAUAUUAGCUGAACACAUACCCAUUUCUGAGAAUAUUAUUUGGCCUGAAAAGGUAUGUUCAUAAAGGGACUCUUCUCUGUUUCUCUCUGGAUCCCAUGGAGUUGUUCUUUUUUGUGUGGCCUUCACAUCUUCCCUUUUGUUCCUCUAACAUUUUGUAGCAUUGGUUUUCUAACAGGGAAAGAUAUGUAUUCCUAGGGAUGUGUAUCAGCAUUUCUAAAGGAAAUGUAUGUAUACUUUGAAAAAACAUAUUUCAUAUUAUAAUAGAAUUUCAUAAUUUGGGUACCAAUAAGAUGCCAUUGCUCUCAUAAUAUAAGCAAAGAGAGUGAAGUUUGACAAGUUCUCUUUGCUAGAGGGAAUCUGUAUCAGUGAGUCUUCAAAGGGGGGCACCCGUUGGGGGUGGGUCUCAUCUCCCUAGGUGGGUCAUGUCAAGAUCUUGUUGGGUGGUCGGGCAUAACAUUUUUGUUUAUAAAGUAGGAAAAGGACCUUUUUUUAAAAGAUUCAAAAGACUUCCCGGCAAAGAUAACAGGAAACACCUGUAUCUCUCCUGUAGGAUCAGGGUCAGGUGACUGAGCUGAGACAGGAGUCCCCCUGCCAAGGUAGGAAGAGCAUAUUCAGGGCCCAUGAGAAAGGUGGGCCCAUGAGAAAGAUAAGUGUUGUGUGUGAAGACAGCCAUGGCUUCAACAACACAGGCUUUGCCUUCAUUGCAUGAAUGCGAUUGCUCUAGGAAAAUGCAAAGAGAAAGAAGAUUGAGGACAGUGAGUCCAGCAAGGGUCCUCAAAAUGGGGGUCCCGUGACUUGCAGAGCUGGCAGCCAUGAGGCUGCAGUAGUUUUCCUCAAGAAACAGUUGUGAAGCGUUUGGGGAGGGAGCAGGGACAGAGGCUGCUUCCUAAUCUCCACUGAUGGUGCCCUGGGCAGAGAGUGGGGUAGACGCCCCACCUGAACAAGCAACAGCAGAGUUCAUUCCUGGAACUCUUAGCAGGGAGGCAGCUCUCUCUAGGUGACUUCAUGGUGUCACUUCUACAGGGCUUUCUGAACCUACCCAGGUGCGUUAGUCCCACAUUCUUCAAGAGCAAUGGCUCUGGGGAGCCAGAAGGGUGAGUUGAAUAAGAGUGGUAACACACGGGACAGUAUCAGAAACGUAGCAAGGCAGAUCUAAUGAAUGAAUUUUAAUAGUGAAAAGAAGAGAAAGCCCAGUGAGCAGUGCCAAAUGCCACAAGAAUCACCACAUCCCGCAGCUGAAGAUGGGACAGCGAGGGCAACUGGGGCAUGAUUUUGGUGGAGGAGCUGGAAGGACCCUGUGUUGGUGAAUGGUUACCACUCCCCAUCAUGCUAGGGAGGGGUAGCAAGCAGCACGGAAGGAGCCCAAGCUGCACAACAAACAGACUAGCACGUCUGGUACACGGACCCUUAAAGAUCACUCUUGAGCCAUCCUGAGGCCUCGUGAGAAAGGAGGAGUUUGAGGAGUUGCAGUCUGGUGAAUUCCCUGGUGGGACCUCAGCAUUUAAGACCCCUAGAUUAUGCUCUUCCAAGCUGAUGUACAGGGGGCUUAGAGAUGGGGUUAAGUACCUGGAAUGGGGGCAGAAACCACAGGAGUCAUGAGACACUGGGGACAGAAUGGACAAUGAAAGAUGUCACCCACUGGUAGGGGGUCCAAUGAGAAGCAUGUUCUCUCAGAGAUUUAGGGUGUUGCUGAGGUGGCAGAGGGCAAUUAGAACUCUCCAUUUUAAAGAAAACUGAGCCAUAAAUUAGUAGAAAUACAAGUAAACUUUUUGGAAACCUCUUCCCACCUUCCUUAGAUAGUGAUGUUUAAUGCAAGGAUUGCUAUGACGUCAGCCAGACUAGACUGUCUACAAACCAAGCCGGGCUGCCUCCAAGGCUCAGAGUCAGAGCUACUUACUGACUUACUUGAUAUGUUAUCGUAUCUAAAAUAGCAACCAGGAGAGAAGGACUCAUGAAAAUCCAGGCAGGGAGCACCUUCAUCAGCACUCUGAAAUGCAACCAGCGAAACACUAACUAACCAGCACAAAAAUAUGAGAGCUUGGGACAAAUGAAGAAGAGAGGAUAUAGAGCACAAAUAGCAUUUUAUUGAGAAUCGCUAUACAUAGGCUCUUCCUUCACUCUCACUAACUAGCUAGGGACAUUUGGGAAAGUAAUUUAAUGUCCCUGAACCUUGGUUUCCACCCACAUAGAACAUGAGAGUUGAAGCAGGUGGUCCCUAGGACAUUUUGUGUAUCUGAGGUCCAGGGUAGUUCGCAGACUGGAACACUCCCAGAUUUUCCAGAACAAAUACUAUUCCUCUGAUAUGGCCUCAGCCAAUAGCAUGAUCCAUCUCCUCCCAGGGAAUGUCUCCAAUUAGAAAAUGCAGGGAUGGAUCUUUUUGAAACUGGAUAAGAGACCUCACCAAGCAGUGUUAAGUUUUCCCCAUGGCCCCGUGUUUGCCAUGCAUUUGAUUCUCAUUGUGGUCCAAGCUUCUCCCACCACAUCCAUUUCACCCACCAAGAAACGCAUUGACAAUCGUGUGGACUAUGGCGCUAUUGCCCAACUAGACAGGCCAACCUGUCAUUAAGGAGACCCAAAUCCUGACGCAGAGCCCAGCAUCUCAGGGAAAGACCCCUGACAGUUUUGCUUGACUUUUGAUCCCAGUGAUGAGAUAAAGUGUGCUGGGUUGACUUUAACUAUUACAUAACCCUUGUAAUUAUAGAGCUUUCACUUUGGAGCCUGAGGGAAAUGUCACAGGUGGUGGACUCUGAGCUCUGGGCCAGCUGGGCCUUCCCUAGUCAUGCCUAGUCUCAUAUUCAAAAGGAGAGGCCAAAUUAUUUUUACUCCACCCGCAGCAGUAGACUCAGCACCAAGACAUUUGGGGUACAUUUUAUCUCCUCAGUCUCUUUUGGAACCCAAUAUUUGUUCAUUGAUUCACUCCUUGAGUACCUACUGUGACUAAGGCACUGUGUGGAAUAGUGACAAUUACUCUUUUGAUGUUUCUUCAACAUUUGUAUACUUGAUCCUCUAACCCAGGGGUCAGCAAAUCACAGCCCCUGGGCCAAAUCCAGCCCUCUGCCUGUUUUUGUACAACCUCACAAGUUUAGAAUAGUUUUUACAUUUUUAAAUGGUUGAAAAAGAAAUAAAAAGAAUAAUGUUCAAUUCAAAUUUCAGUUACCCCUCCUACUCCUAUCACUCAGUCCUAAGAAGUGUCUAUAAAUAAAGCUGUAAUUAUUAGAACACAACUGUGGUAGGCAGAAUUCUAAAAUGACCCGCAAUGACACUCGCCCUUGUAUAAUCUCCUCCCCUUGAGUGUGGGUGAAACCUGUGAAUAUAAUGAGGUCUCACUCCUGUGAUUGUGUUACAUUAUAUGGCAAAAGGGAUUUUUGUAGGUGUAAUUAAGAGUCAAUCAGUUGACUUUGAAUUAUUCAAUAGGGAAAUUAUCCAGGUGGGCCUAACCUAAUCGUAGGAGCCCUUUAAAAGUAAAGAGUUCUUGGGGCUGGCCUGGUGGUGCAGCGGUUAAGUUCGCACAUUCUGCAUUGGGAACCUGGGGUCCUGGAUCCUGGUCGCGGACACACUCACCACUCAUCAAGCCGUGCUGAGGCGGCAUCCCACGUAGAAGAACUAGAAAGACCUACAACUAGGAUAUACACUUGUGUACUGGGGGCUUUGGGAAGAAAAAAAAAAAAAGAGGAAGAUUGGCA